RNAcentral lists this small nucleolar RNA (131 nucleotides) under Aplysia californica (California sea hare). Lineage: Eukaryota; Metazoa; Mollusca; Gastropoda; Aplysiida; Aplysiidae. The record is from RNAcentral.
AUUGGCCCACAUCGAAGCCUCAUUGUUUUUAUGUGAACAGUGGGGUUCAAAACUGAGCCUACAUCAUCAUCCCUAGACGGUCGCAGCUCAUGCUUGAAACGUGGGUUGCAUACACAAAUGGGGAUACAGCG